This is a non-coding RNA of Cinara cedri, 2007 nucleotides long. The record is from the annotation of a GenBank genome assembly. Lineage: Eukaryota; Metazoa; Arthropoda; Insecta; Hemiptera; Aphididae.
AAUAUGAUGUGUAAAUUGGAGAACUCGUAUUCCAAAGAAGUUGCCAAAACAUCUGCCAUUAAGUACCAAGAAUAUCAAUACGAAUUAUAAUACAUCUUCUUAUAUGAUCAAAAACGUUUUUACCAAAUUAAGUACCAGAAAUAUAACACAUCAUAUUGUUAUUGUUAUCAUUAUUACUAUGUUAGGACCUAUAUGUGUAUUGCAUAUGUCAUUACAAUUGUAUAACUUUUUGUGACUAGUGAAAAUCACAUUUCGUUUACUGUACGGUAUGUACAGAUUUUACAGAUAGGUUAGGAUUGGGUAUAGUAAGUGUAUUUAGGUAAUUUUACAUUAUUAUUAUUAAUAUUUUACUAGCAAUGUUAUAUUAUUAUUAAUACUAUUAUCUUAAACAAUAUACACAUGUAAAUUAUAAACUUUUCCCGAUUUAUUUAAUUUUAAGUACAAUAUUAUAAAAGUUUAUAUUAAUGAUAUUUCACAACACUGUUUACCGUAUUUAUUUUAUUGUAUAUCAUUAAAAUUAUGACAUAAAUGAAAAACAAAAUAAAAACACCAUGUCAAAUUUACAAUUUUCACAAUCCCCGAAUACUAAACACGCCCAUAUAAUAAUAUAAUAUCCAAUCACGUUUGGUCAAUAAACUAAUAUUGAUACACAUUGUCCCUACACCAUUUAAUUUUAAUAUUAAUACUACAAUAGAAUAGUAUUGAAACUUCAAUAUUGUUUUUAUUUUGUAUUUGUUAUAAAUGUUAACAUAGAGUAUAAAAACAAAAAUUCACAGUAAAUAAAAUGUGAUAAUAAACAAUAAAAAAAUAGAUACAAAUAUUUAAAAAAAAAAAACCAUAAUUAUUCACCCCAAAAAUGUAAUUUUGUUAAGUACUUCAAUUUUUUAUAUAGAAAUAUUACAAUUCAGCUUCAUAAGAGUUUUGUACCACCCAUAAUUUAAUUUAAAAAACUGUUUUGCAUAGAAACAUUCUCUUGUACUAUAUUUAUAGUACAAUCAAUGACCUUAUUUUGUCAUGAUCUAUCAUAACUCUAGUUACUAAUUUUUCAAACAAAUAUAAAAUUUUAUCUGCAUUAUAGCGGUCUUUUUAUUUCCAUAACAUAAAUACAAUUUAAGUUAUCAGAUAACAAACAAGCAGUUUAUUUGGUUUCUUCAUUUACUUAAUAAAAAUGAUAGACUAGGACUCAGCUGAAGUACAACACAGAUAAAGUUCUUCCCUAUGUUCUAAAAUUUUACUACAUCUACUAUAAGUAGGUAGUAAGGAAAAAGCAAAGUUGUAUCACACAAAACUAUUUUCUAAAAACAUUUUAGCUUAUCUAUUAAUAACACAAAACAUAAUUAUGAUAUUUUUAAAUUUGUUUCAAAAUUAAUUUUAAAAUGUAUGAAUAUAAAUUGUAAUACUUUAAACAAAUUUGUAAUGAUUGCCUAAAUGAAACCCCCUUGAAUACGAGCAAUACCCUUACAAUUUAAUUUCAUGUAUAAUGUAGCAAAAUUUUUAAUUUUUGUUCUUCUUUUAAUGUAUUAAGAGUAAAGAUUGUUUAUGAUAGAAUAUAUAUUUAAGUAAUACAAAAAAAAAAAAAAAAACAAUACAUUAUAAUGAAUAAAAUUUAAAAAGAAAGUAAACAUCUUAAAACUAGUUUGACAACAAAAUAGAAUACAAAAAUGUAUAAUUAUAUUGCACAUAAGAAAUUGGCUGCCAAAAAUGAGAAUAAUUGUAAAAAUUCAAUAAUAGUAGACUAAUUUAAUAAUAAAUAAAUAAUAAUUAAUAAUUCAAUGCACAAAAAAUUAUGGCACCAUUAUUUAUUUUUAUUGAGCUUGCGAGGAACGAAAGAGAAACUAAUGUAGUGUGCCACGGAUGAAUCAAUUCUUUGUUCAAAUAAAUCAUAUAAAACGUAUGUUUUUAAUAGUAACACUCUUAAUACAUGGGACAUUUUUUUUAUCAGUAACAGUUAACAAAAAUUGUAUAAUAAACCAGUAAGUUUUAUCAGAAAAAUUGUCAAUGAAUAAA